CCUACGGGAGGCAGCAGUGAGGAAUAUUGGUCAAUGGACGAGAGUCUGAACCAGCCAAGUAGCGUGAAGGAUGACUGCCCUAUGGGUUGUAAACUUCUUUUAUAUGGGAAUAAAAUGUUCCACGUGUGGGAUUUUGUAUGUACCAUAUGAAUAAGGAUCGGCUAACUCCGUGCCAGCAGCCGCGGUAAUACGGAGGAUCCGAGCGUUAUCCGGAUUUAUUGGGUUUAAAGGGAGCGUAGGUGGAUUGUUAAGUCAGUUGUGAAAGUUUGCGGCUCAACCGUAAAAUUGCAGUUGAAACUGGCAGUCUUGAGUACAGUAGAGGUGGGCGGAAUUCGUGGUGUAGCGGUGAAAUGCUUAGAUAUCACGAAGAACUCCGAUUGCGAAGGCAGUUCACUGGACUGCAACUGAGACUGAGGCUCGAAAGUGUGGGUAUCAAACAGGAUUAGAUACCCCUGUAGUC
This 460-nucleotide ribosomal RNA is filed under the name uncultured bacterium. RNAcentral's name for it is "partial 16S ribosomal RNA". It matches the Rfam family "Bacterial small subunit ribosomal RNA", at positions 338 to 795 of the family's 1533-position model. The record is from RNAcentral.